UCCAAGGCGACCAGCUUCCAAAUAAUUUUGGCCAAAGAAAAUAUGGUUCCUCCAUGAUUCUAACAUCUUAUAACAAUUCCUAGUAGAGAAAAUUCUGUGAGGACUUGGGACUGCACCACAAAAAAAGAAAAAUAUUAGAUCUGUUGUUUAAUUUUAUACGAAUAGGAAUUUCUAUGAACUUCAACAGCUCCUUGACAACAACAUCAGUUAAACUGGUUCCUGAUAUGAGGUAGAAUCCGGUAGAGCUCGG
Molecule: long non-coding RNA, 250 nt
Filed under: Phoenix dactylifera (date palm)
Lineage: Eukaryota; Viridiplantae; Streptophyta; Magnoliopsida; Arecales; Arecaceae
Description: long non-coding RNA (PDAC_LNC000512)
Source: RNAcentral